RNAcentral lists this transfer RNA (85 nucleotides) under Alphaproteobacteria bacterium. Its description in RNAcentral is "tRNA-Leu". It matches the Rfam family "tRNA". Rfam says of the family: Transfer RNA (tRNA) molecules are approximately 80 nucleotides in length. Their secondary structure includes four short double-helical elements and three loops (D, anti-codon, and T loops). The record is from RNAcentral. Lineage: Bacteria; Pseudomonadati; Pseudomonadota; Alphaproteobacteria.
GCCCGGAUGGCGGAAUUGGUAGACGCAGCGGAUUCAAAAUCCGCCGCCGCGAGGCAUGCCGGUUCGAGUCCGGCUCCGGGCACCA